Drosophila gunungcola (fruit fly) is the source of this 978-nucleotide long non-coding RNA. RefSeq lists it as uncharacterized. NCBI's taxonomy places the organism in Eukaryota, Metazoa, Arthropoda, Insecta, Diptera, Drosophilidae. The transcript has 3 exons. The record is from RefSeq and is a predicted model, not a curated record.
UACUGCCAGCAGAGUGAGCAAAUAGAAACGAAAAAAAAAACCGAAAAAAGGAAACAUUUCUGACACAGACUUGAGCCAGUCACAAUGACUGCACAUGAGUUUUCCCCAUUAAAAGCAGAAAAAACUACAAUUUUUCCCUGCUACUGCAGUUUUCCCCGCGAUUAACUAAAAAUAAAUUUUCAUUUUUCCGCAGGCCGUGCAAAUGAACAAUUUUUGCGUAUGACAACAGACGGGAAUCAACGCGACCCGCGCAGCCCUCGAGAUUCAAGUUUACUAAAGAUGGCUAAAAAUAAUUCACCCGGCAGAUAAACUCGAGGUCUUGCAUAUAUGUAUCCUGCUUUGUUUGCUUUGAAGUCUCAAAAAGCAAGAGAUAUUUAAAUAUUAUUAUUUUAUAUACACAGCUUUGAUCAGCAGAACUAUCAGGAGAGUAUUUCAACUUCGGAAGUAACGUGUAAAUGCUGAGUUUCCGUUUAAGUGAGUUUAUGGUGUGGGAAGUUUGAGUCCCAAAUUCCGUGUAACAGUACGAUGCCAUGUAUUAUAAUACCUACCCUGCUCUACUUUAAUUCAAUUUGCAUUUGCAACUUUUGCAAUUGCCCUUUGGAAACGGAACGUAAACAGCUAUUGAUAAUUGCUGUGCACUGUGGGGAUGUGCGUGUGCACUUGGCUGCCACCUCAGUUGUUUGCGCUUACCGGUCCUUAUUGUUUGUUACUAAUUACAUAAUUGCAAAUAUCUCCCGACAAGCAACAUGGCAACAGCAGCUUGUGUGUUUGCUGCCUGGCUUAUCCUUUAAUACCAUCAAAAACUAAAUAAUGAAUGAGCGGGAUUUACUAUCGACAGAUAAUUCCAGAUAUUGAUUGCGGAUUGAACGUCACUCAAACAUUUUCGUUCUAGCGGAAACUCAAAGGAACAUGUAUAUUCAUAACGCAAAACACAAAAUACUAAUCCCUUUUAUUUGAACAACUUGUAAAUUGAAACAA